UUCCUAUGCAUAUACCUUUUUCAGAUGUAACUUUAAAGAGGCAUAGGGCAUGGGAAAA
This 58-nucleotide microRNA precursor is filed under the name Tetraodon nigroviridis (spotted green pufferfish). RNAcentral describes it as "Tni-Mir-202_pre stem-loop". It matches the Rfam family "mir-202 microRNA precursor family", at positions 11 to 68 of the family's 76-position model. The record is from RNAcentral. Lineage: Eukaryota; Metazoa; Chordata; Actinopteri; Tetraodontiformes; Tetraodontidae.